RNAcentral lists this ribosomal RNA (395 nucleotides) under uncultured bacterium. RNAcentral describes it as "partial 16S ribosomal RNA". It matches the Rfam family "Bacterial small subunit ribosomal RNA", at positions 338 to 730 of the family's 1533-position model. The record is from RNAcentral.
CCUACGGGCGGCAGCAGUGAGGAAUAUUGGUCAAUGGCCGUAAGGCUGAACCAGCCACGUCGCGUGAAGGAAGAAGGAUCUAUGGUUUGUAAACUUCUUUUAUAGGGGAAUAAAGGUAUCCAUGUGUGGAUAUUUGCAUGUACCCUAUGAAUAAGCAUCGGCUAACUCCGUGCCAGUCGCCGCGGUAAUACGGAGGAUUCGAGCGUUAUCCGGAUUUAUUGGGUUUAAAGGGUGCGUAGGUUGUUUUGUAAGUCAGCGGUGAAAGGUUGUGGCUCAACCAUAAAAUUGCCGUUGAAACUGGCAGACUUGAGUGUGUUAGAGGUAGGCGGAAUGCGUGGUGUAGCGGUGAAAUGCAGAGAUAUCACGAAGAACUCCGAUUGCGAAGGCAGCUUACU